RNAcentral lists this long non-coding RNA (384 nucleotides) under Equus caballus (horse). RNAcentral describes it as "lncRNA (ENSECAG00000045371.1)". The record is from RNAcentral. Lineage: Eukaryota; Metazoa; Chordata; Mammalia; Perissodactyla; Equidae.
CUCUGAAGGAAAAAACCCAGACGUUCUGUCUCCAAUAGAUUCCCAGUAUUCCCACCGUCCCAGCCUGUGGAGCUCCAUGCUUGUACCUUGUGCACUUUCUGAAUAACAAAGGUGCACUGGUUUUCGGCAGCACAGUGAGGACAGAAAGUAUUCCGUCUGUUUCAUUCAAGUGGAGUGAAAACUUGAAGAGCUGUGAGGUAAUUUACAGCCACAGAAAAUGAUCAUUACUGGAUGCUAAGGGAGGAAAAAAUCUCCAGGAAAAUCUAGAAUCACUGUUAUAUCUACUAGUACAUAAUGAAUGGCACAUAUUGAUUCUCUGAAAAUCUUCAUGAGAGGGCAAGGCUGUUUCCAGAAGAAGGAUGCAGAAUAGAAAUUGUCUUUUCC